RNAcentral lists this ribosomal RNA (90 nucleotides) under Aeromonas salmonicida. The record is from RNAcentral. Lineage: Bacteria; Pseudomonadati; Pseudomonadota; Gammaproteobacteria; Aeromonadales; Aeromonadaceae.
GCCGUGGAACCACCUGAUCCCAUGCCGAACUCAGAAGUGAAACGCGGUAGCGCCGAUGGUAGUGUGGCAUUCGCCAUGCGAGAGUAGGAC